This 780-nucleotide ribosomal RNA is filed under the name uncultured bacterium. Its description in RNAcentral is "bacterial SSU rRNA". It matches the Rfam family "Bacterial small subunit ribosomal RNA", at positions 8 to 796 of the family's 1533-position model. The record is from RNAcentral.
AGAGUUUGAUCAUGGCUCAGGACGAACGCUGGCGGCGUGCUUCAUACAUGCAAGUCGAACGGGGUCCAACUGGUAGCAAUACCAGGGAAGACCUAGUGGCGAACGGGUGCGUAACACGUGAGCAACCUGCCCCGGAGACCGGGAUAACAGCGGGAAACCGCUGCUAAUACCGGAUGCCCUCGCAGUCUCGCAUGGGACAGUGAGGAAAUGGGUUUCCGCUUCGGGAGGGGCUCGCGGCCUAUCAGCUUGUUGGUGGGGUAACGGCCUACCAAGGCGCCGACGGGUAGCUGGUCUGAGAGGACGAUCAGCCACACUGGGACUGAGACACGGCCCAGACUCCUACGGGAGGCAGCAGUAGGGAAUCUUGCGCAAUGGGCGAAAGCCUGACGCAGCAACGCCGCGUGGGGGAUGAAGGCCUUCGGGUUGUAAACUCCUUUCAGUGGGAACGAAAAUGACGGUACCCACAGAAGAAGCCCCGGCCAACUACGUGCCAGCAGCCGCGGUGAUACGUAGGGGGCGAGCGUUGUCCGGAUUCAUUGGGCGUAAAGAGCUCGUAGGCGGCUUGGUAAGUCGGGUGUGAAACCUCCAGGCUCAACCUGGAGACGCCACUCGAUACUGCCAUGGCUUGAGUCCGGUAGGGGACCAUGGAAUUCCUGGUGUAGCGGUGAAAUGCGCAGAUAUCAGGAGGAACACCAGUGGCGAAGGCGGUGGUCUGGGCCGGUACUGACGCUGAGGAGCGAAAGCGUGGGGAGCGAACAGGAUUAGAUACCCCCGUAGUCC